This is a non-coding RNA of Bacillus gaemokensis, 232 nucleotides long. The record is from Rfam. NCBI's taxonomy places the organism in Bacteria, Bacillati, Bacillota, Bacilli, Caryophanales, Bacillaceae.
AGAGAACCGAUAAUAGAGAAGAGUAGAUGAGAUACACAUGGAAAGAGAAGAAAUGUCUGAGGCUGAAAACAUUUCUACAUGAUGACUGAUCGAAUGACACUCUGUAGGUUUCAUCUUGAACGGCACCUAUGCUUAGUAGAGGUUGAACGCGAAUUUAAGCGUUAUUAAAAAAGUGGAAGCAUACGUGCUUCAAUUAGGGUGGCACCACGGGUAUAAUACUCUCGUCCCUACU